RNAcentral lists this ribosomal RNA (601 nucleotides) under Alteromonas macleodii ATCC 27126. RNAcentral's name for it is "bacterial SSU rRNA". It matches the Rfam family "Bacterial small subunit ribosomal RNA", at positions 81 to 685 of the family's 1533-position model. The record is from RNAcentral. Lineage: Bacteria; Pseudomonadati; Pseudomonadota; Gammaproteobacteria; Alteromonadales; Alteromonadaceae.
UAGAAGAUGACGAGUGGCGGACGGGUGAGUAAUGCUUGGGAACUUGCCUUUGCGAGGGGGAUAACAGUUGGAAACGACUGCUAAUACCGCAUAAUGUCUUCGGACCAAACGGGGCUUCGGCUCCGGCGCAAAGAGAGGCCCAAGUGAGAUUAGCUAGUUGGUAAGGUAACGGCUUACCAAGGCGACGAUCUCUAGCUGUUCUGAGAGGAAGAUCAGCCACACUGGGACUGAGACACGGCCCAGACUCCUACGGGAGGCAGCAGUGGGGAAUAUUGCACAAUGGGGGAAACCCUGAUGCAGCCAUGCCGCGUGUGUGAAGAAGGCCUUCGGGUUGUAAAGCACUUUCAGUUGUGAGGAAAAGUUAGUAGUUAAUACCUGCUAGCCGUGACGUUAACAACAGAAGAAGCACCGGCUAACUCCGUGCCAGCAGCCGCGGUAAUACGGAGGGUGCGAGCGUUAAUCGGAAUUACUGGGCGUAAAGCGCACGCAGGCGGUUUGUUAAGCUAGAUGUGAAAGCCCCGGGCUCAACCUGGGAUGGUCAUUUAGAACUGGCAGACUAGAGUCUUGGAGAGGGGAGUGGAAUUCCAGGUGUAGCGGUGAA